GAGUUUGAUCCUGGCUCAGGAUGAACGCUGGCGGCAUGCCUAACACAUGCAAGUCGAACGGGGUUUAUAUAACAGAACUCUUCGGAGGGAAGAUAUAUAAACCUAGUGGCGGACGGGUGAGUAACGCGUGGGCAACCUGCCCUGUACCGGGGACAACAGCCAGAAAUGGCUGCUAAUACCGCAUAAGCCUGCGGUGCCGCAUGGCACAGCAGGGAAAACCACGGUGGUACAGGAUGGGCCCGCGUCUGAUUAGUUAGUUGGCAGGGUAACGGCCUACCAAGACGAUGAUCAGUAGCCGGCUUGAGAGAGUGGACGGCCACAUUGGGACUGAGACACGGCCCAGACUCCUGCGGGAGGCGGCAGUGGGGAAUAUUGCACAAUGGGGGGAACCCUGAUGCAGCAAUGCCGCGUGGGUGAAGAAGCACUCCGGUGCGUAAAGCCCUGUCAGCAGGGAAGAAAAUGACAGUACCUGACCAAGAAGCCCCGGCUAACUCGUGCCAGCCGCCGCGG
This 510-nucleotide ribosomal RNA is filed under the name uncultured microorganism. RNAcentral describes it as "bacterial SSU rRNA". It matches the Rfam family "Bacterial small subunit ribosomal RNA", at positions 9 to 520 of the family's 1533-position model. The record is from RNAcentral.